GGGGAGGUGGCUGAGCGGUUGAAGGCGCCUGUCUUGAAAACAGGAGUGGGUUUCUCGCCCACCGCGGGUUCGAAUCCCGCUCUCCCCG
Molecule: transfer RNA, 88 nt
Filed under: Gemmataceae bacterium
Lineage: Bacteria; Pseudomonadati; Planctomycetota; Planctomycetia; Gemmatales; Gemmataceae
Description: tRNA-Ser
Rfam family: tRNA
About the family: Transfer RNA (tRNA) molecules are approximately 80 nucleotides in length. Their secondary structure includes four short double-helical elements and three loops (D, anti-codon, and T loops). Further hydrogen bonds mediate the characteristic L-shaped molecular structure. tRNAs have two regions of fundamental functional importance: the anti-codon, which is responsible for specific mRNA codon recognition, and the 3' end, to which the tRNAs corresponding amino acid is attached (by aminoacyl-tRNA synthetases). tRNAs cope with the degeneracy of the genetic code in two manners: having more than one tRNA (with a specific anti-codon) for a particular amino acid; and 'wobble' base-pairing, i.e. permitting non-standard base-pairing at the 3rd anti-codon position.
Source: RNAcentral